RNAcentral lists this ribosomal RNA (369 nucleotides) under uncultured organism. Its description in RNAcentral is "bacterial SSU rRNA". It matches the Rfam family "Bacterial small subunit ribosomal RNA", at positions 526 to 896 of the family's 1533-position model. The record is from RNAcentral.
CGGAGGGUGCAAGCGUUAUCCGGAAUCAGUUGGGUUUAAAGGGUGCGCAGGCGGAAUUUUAAGUCAGUGGUGAAAUCCCUUCGCUUAACGAGGAACUGCCAUUGAUACUGAAAUUCUUGAAUUUGGUUGGCGUGGGCGGAAUGUGCCAUGUAGCGGUGAAAUGCUUAGAUAUGGCACAGUACACCGAUCGCGAAGGCAGCUCACGAAACCAUUAUUGACGCUCAGGCACGAAAGCAUGGGGAGCAAACAGGAUUAGAUACCCUGGUAGUCCCAUGCUGUAAACGUUGAUCACUCGACAUUGGCGAUAUACUGUCAGUGUCCUAGCGCAAGUGAUAAGUGAUCCACCUGGGGAGUACGCCCGCAAGGGUG